GGAGGAUCCUUAAAGCUAAGUGAGCAGUGAGCUGCCUGCAGCAAGGGAGCAGCCCUGGAAAUCCAGAACGUUGUGAAGCGUUAACAAGCCUCCUGAGACUUGAGGAAGACCCCAGGUUGCCUUUUGCUGAAGUCAACUGUUAGCCACACUGCAUUGAAGCAGCUGGGCUUUGCAGCAUGCAUCUUGUUUUUGUUGCUGAGAAGGACUCCAUGAAACAAAUUAACCAGAUGCAAGUUCUGACUUAAACCCACUGGGAACUGGAAAGGUAUCAUCCACCUCCAGUUCUCAGUUUCCUGAAAACCAAUGGCAAUUUCAGUGUCCCCGUUUUGGGGCUCCUGUGGGGACUGCUCCCAGUGUGACACAUUCAACAAUCAGAUCAUAAAAGUGAAGUCUAGAACGUGCAAGGAAGGGACAAAGCAAGGAUCUUGGCAGCUCACCAGCCUCGCUAUCUUUCUUGGCUGAGGCUUGCAAGCAUCAAGUUGCGCUCCUGUGUGGAGGAACAAUGGUUUAAUGUUCGAUAGUGAUCAGAUCAGGAGGAGAGCAGAACACCAGGCAUCCGACAGGUUGUCAAACCUGUCACAUCCCAGCGUUUUCUUCUCCUUGACAAGGUUAGCCACUGACUGACAAGGGUACACUUUGCCAGGAUGGCAGCAGAGCCUUUAGGAGGAAGAAAAAUGCUUUCAAAAAUGAGUUCGACUGCUUUCCACAUAUCACAACAUCUCUGCACAAAGCUGCAUUCUCAGAUGUGCCUUUGCAAUGACUUUGAAUCUUUUC
Prinia subflava (tawny-flanked prinia) is the source of this 774-nucleotide long non-coding RNA. RefSeq lists it as uncharacterized. NCBI's taxonomy places the organism in Eukaryota, Metazoa, Chordata, Aves, Passeriformes, Cisticolidae. The record is from RefSeq and is a predicted model, not a curated record. The transcript has 3 exons.